Molecule: ribosomal RNA, 236 nt
Filed under: Klebsiella pneumoniae
Lineage: Bacteria; Pseudomonadati; Pseudomonadota; Gammaproteobacteria; Enterobacterales; Enterobacteriaceae
Description: partial 16S ribosomal RNA
Rfam family: Bacterial small subunit ribosomal RNA
Source: RNAcentral
GCAUAUACAAAGAGAAGCGACCUCGCGAGAGCAAGCGGACCUCAUAAAGUAUGUCGUAGUCCGGAUUGGAGUCUGCAACUCGACUCCAUGAAGUCGGAAUCGCUAGUAAUCGUAGAUCAGAAUGCUACGGUGAAUACGUUCCCGGGCCUUGUACACACCGCCCGUCACACCAUGGGAGUGGGUUGCAAAAGAAGUAGGUAGCUUAACCUUCGGGAGGGCGCUUACCACUUUGUGAU